AGGUUAAAUAUAUAUAUAUAUAUAUAUAUAUAUAUAUCCAUUUUGUACCCAUUUGUUUUGUAUCCAUUUAUUUUGUACCCAUUUGUUUUGUAUCCAUUUGUUUUGUAUCCAUUUGUUUUGUACCCAUUUGUUUUGUAUCCAUUUGUUUUGUAUCCAUUUGUUUUGUAUCCAUUUGUUUUGUACCCAUUUGUUUUGUAUCCAUUUGUUUUGUACCCAUUUGUUUUGUAUCCAUUUGUUUUGUAUCCAUUUGUUUUGUAUCCAUUUGUUUUGUACCCAUUUGUUUUGUAUCCAUUUGUUUUGUACCCAUUUGUUUUGUAUCCAUUUUUUUUUUUGUGUAUAUAUGUUGUUUACAUUUAUAUGUCUUUUUUUUUUUUUUUUUUUUUUUUUUUUUUUUUUUUUUUUUUUUUUUUGCAGAAGCUGUAAAUACUUUGUUCUCUGCCGACUCUUUUUUUGUUGAUCAUGUAGAAAAUUUAAAAUUAAAAUUAACUGAACGUGACCAAAAAUUGCAGUUUGAAAAUGAACGAUUAAAAAAAUUAGCACUUGAAGCAAAAGUUGAAGAAUAUGAUGACAAAUUUGAAAAGAAUAAAGAAAAGAAUAAUGAAAUGGAUGCGACCAUAAAUAAGCUCAAACAAGACAUCGAGAAGGUAUAACAUAUAUACAUAUGCACAUACUUUUGAAAGAAAACAUAAAUGUAUUUAGUACGUGCAUUUUUUUAUGUGCAUUUUUUUUUCUAUAUGCACCCUUCUUUUUUUUUUUUUUAUCCUUUAUGCUAAUGUAGUUUAAUGAAAAGAUACAAAACUACGACAACUACGUGAAAAAUAAGAGAAAAGAAAUAGACAUAAAUUUUCCUGAAAAUCUCGAAUGCAAAGAAAGGAUCAAAUUAUUAGAAGACAAGUAAGAAAUUUAAAACGAUUUUAUUAUUUAGGAAAACAUACACACUUGUGAAUAUACACACAUAUGAAUAUAUACAAACGUGUUAUGUAAAUAUUUAAAUGUACAUACUAUAUAUAUUAUGCUAAUAUACUUGUAUGUUAUAUUUAUAUUUUCUUUUCGCUUUUGCCCUUUUUUUUUUUUUUUGCCUUUUCCAUUUAUUUAUUUAUUUUAUUUUUUUUUUUUUUUUUGUAUGCUUA
Molecule: long non-coding RNA, 1130 nt
Filed under: Piliocolobus tephrosceles (Ugandan red Colobus)
Lineage: Eukaryota; Metazoa; Chordata; Mammalia; Primates; Cercopithecidae
Description: lncRNA (ENSPTEG00000001515.1)
Source: RNAcentral